GUCAGGAUGGCCGAGCGGUCUAAGGCCACAGGUCACACAGCGUUCAGGUCACAGUCUCCGCUGGAGGCGUGGGUUCAAAUCCCGCUUCUGACA
Ameiurus melas (black bullhead) is the source of this 93-nucleotide non-coding RNA. Lineage: Eukaryota; Metazoa; Chordata; Actinopteri; Siluriformes; Ictaluridae. The record is from the annotation of a GenBank genome assembly.